RNA transcript from Xiphias gladius (swordfish), 4097 nucleotides. It is a transcript of the gene named cugbp, Elav-like family member 3a, with no coding region annotated. Lineage: Eukaryota; Metazoa; Chordata; Actinopteri; Istiophoriformes; Xiphiidae. The record is from RefSeq and is a predicted model, not a curated record. The transcript is spliced from 11 exons.
UGGCCUUCGUCGCUCCACCACCAACGAGUAAACAGACCACCAGGAUGUCGCAAGGCGCUAAGUUCCAGCUUUAAAUGUUAGUUUAUAUAAAAUAUCAGCGGUAAUAGAGAAACUCACGGCGGAUAAUUUCUAGAAGCAAACAGCAUACCGCACCGUUAAGGCUUUGUAACAUUACAAUGACCACUGAGCGGCUGCUUAACGCGAUAACGUCUGUGCUACGUAGAGCUAGUAUGCUAAGCUAAGCGCUAGCCUCGGCUAACUUCAGUUCGUGUUGGAAUGGUAGAGCGCAGCGCGAGCUUCUCCGGUCAUGGCAGCGGGAGCAGGAACCGCUUCUGGCGGAUCUCUGGAGUCUACUUUAGCCAGGAAGUUUCAAAGUGUCACAAACACGAUGGAUUCAAUUCAGGGACUGUCAACCUGGUGUAUCGACAACAAGAAGUACCACAGCCUGAUCGUGCGAAACUGGAUGAAGUCUUUUAGGAAAUCUGAUGCCCCUCACAGGCUCAACCUGUUUUACCUCGCCAACGAUGUCAUUCAGAACUGUAAAAGGAAAAAUGCCAUCGUCUAUCGUACGGCAUUUGCUGAGGUGCUUCCUGAAGCCUUCGUGCUGGUCAACCAUGAAGCUGACCCCAAAGUGAUUAAAUCAGUGGAAAGGAUACUGUCCAUCUGGGAAGACAGGGGUGUGUAUUCAGGGGGAGUCAUUGCUGAGCUUAGGAGUAGCUUAGUCAAAGAUGAGUCCCCUCCUGAGACACCUGUGGAGCAAAAAACUCCAGUUGAGUGUAAAGCAGAUAUGCGGUCCAAGAUUGUUGCUGAGUUUGUGCCCCAGGCACUAAUAGACCAACUGUCCAAGUACAAAAGAUCUCUGGAGGAGGUGGACCUGAGAGAAAAACAGCUGGCAGCUAUGAGGGUUGACAUCUGCAGUUCUGAUGCCCUCAAGAAACUUAAAGAUAAGGCCGGAGGAAAGAAGUUCUCCAAGGACUUUGAAGAAGGAAGUGCACAGCUACAGGGGUUUGUCAAGUUUCUUGACAAACAAAGCAAAACAGGACCUCCUCUCCUUGAGGCCCUCAGCAAUGCAGAUAUCUUCUAUGAGAUGCAGUACAAGGAGGUCAAGAUUGUUGCUAAUGCUUACCAAACGUUUGCUAACCGGGUGACCCACCUCAAGCGUAAACUGGACAGCCUGAAGGCCACCUUACCAGACCUGGACGAGUCGCCAAUCCCCUCACCCUCUGCAGAUGCACCGUCUCCAACGGGGUCGGAGUCCCCUUUCCGUGGUCUGGAAAUGGCUCACCCCGAUCCAGAUCUUGAUGGCUCUGCUAUGGAUGAUGAGGCGGAGCCGCCGGCCCCGAGCCCUCUGUCCUCAAUGGGAGGAUCCCCCAGACACACAGAGACUCUUGGACAGAAUGACAAUCGUGAAGUGGAGGACAUGGAGCUAUCUGAGGAGGAAAUGGAAAGUGGUGGUAUUAUAGGACCUUUGGUGGAGAGUCCUCCUGCUGCCCCUGCUGGUUCCACAGUAAGGACCACACCGGCUAUCUCUGUGGCCUCUCAGGAUGCUAGUUCACUGGUAAACAUCCUUUCCAAGGUGGAUGUGAGUCCUGCAGAGCUCCUCGGUGCUCUGUCCAAAGUCCAGGGCCAAGGCAGCCUUGAGGGCAUCACCUCUAUUCUGAGCAGCCCAGCUGCAAAUGUUUCCUCAACCGCCUCCAGUACAGGCAAGAUCCUUCCUCCAUCCACAUCUGCCUUAGCAGUACCCUCUCUGAGCCCAUCUCUCUCCUCUGUUGCACCUGUGCCUUCUUCACAAAUCUCUUCUGUAAGGCAGAGCACAAGUUCCCAAGUCCCCCCUCAGACUUCCAACCCAGCCUCUGCCCUGGUCCAGGCUCUCCAUAGAGACAUGGAUUUGACAACAGAGCCAGAGCCGUCCGUGUCCUCUAAGAGUUUAGAGUCUAAAAUCCACAGCUUCCUGCAGGAGAACCCUGCUUUUAAUGCAUUUGAUCUGGGUUUUUCUACGAACCCAGUGGGAGGCGAGAGUCUUAGCCCAGUAACUGGCACAGACAACCAGGAUGGGACCCCAGUGCGGGACGAGGGCGGAGGCACCCCUACUCAAGAUGAGAUCAUGGACAAGCCUGUGAUGGUCCCAUUAACUUCAAACAAAAAUCAGUCAUCUAUUGGAGAAACUGUUAAAACAGCUCCAACUGCAUACCAGAAUAGCACUCAGAAGAACCUCAACAGUUCCCAACAGCAAGGUCACUUGCAGCCAGUUGUGGCUCAGAAUGGGAAGGUCUACCAGCCACAACCCUGUGGCAAACAAGAGAUGUCAGAGCAUGGGAUCACUGCACCUGUUGCGCAUUACCAACAGAUUUCUGCACAAACAGGAGGGCUAAUGUCUGGAGAAAGAGCCCCAGGCAGUGGCAGUGGUACACAGACAGUUGAGAGCUUUCAGGGGGUGAAUGAAAGGGGUUGGUAUAGUGACACUUACCCGGAGGGCAGCUCUCAGCAACCCAGAGGCUACAAUGUGACAGUGCCUGGAGGGCCUGGAGAAAACAACACGUCAGGACUCUAUCCAUACCAAACAGAGCAAACUCUGGAACUUCAAGAGGUAGCCUCCCAGCAGGGUGCCAUCGCAUCCCCUGGUUUCUUCAGGAGCAAUCUCCCUCCUGUCCCAAAGUUACCUCCCCCUCCUCAUUCCUUUGACGCCACUCCUUCUGCAACCAGCAGUAUGAUGAUUCCCCCAGAUCAGCAGGCGAUUAACCGUGCGGGGGAGCUGAGUGGGGCCAGAGUCGACAGUGCCAUCAGUGGGAUGGUGGUGCAUGACCAUCAGCACAAGUCCAUGUUUCAUUCAGAUGAUCCACUGUAUGAACUCGACCGACCCCGCCCUCGACAACCUGAGGAUUUACACCCUCACCCAAAUGACUUGCGUUAUCAGGAGGACCUUGAUCGGUACCACGACGGGCUCCGCCGCCGUGAUGCCCUUCUCUUUCAGGACGACACUUACCGACACCCAGAUGAUCCAUAUUACAGGCCAGGCAGCCCUCCACACCAGUACCCCAGAGGUCGAGGCAUCACUCCCCCACUCUCACCUUCAGAAGACCCUUACUAUGCCCAUGACUACCAGCGGCACAGCCCUCCUCCACUGCACUACACUCCAAGAAGACCACCACCACCCCAUCUUGAAAUGCGUCACCCUGGGCUACGACCUCCACAUCGGCCUCCCCACUCAGCACAUCACCCGCAUCUCGGGGGACCCCCACGCGCACCCUUUCCUCGGUUCCAUGGCCCCAAUCCAAGGUUAAGAGGGAAACGUCCAGGUCCAAGGGGAGGGGGAAAUGCUGGUCCAAUGUUCCCCCCGAAAAGACCCUUUCCACCCCCACGAUACUGACUGGAGAUGUUGCUUUGAGCUCUCUAAAUCACUGUGGAUGUCAUGAAGGCAGGGGAAGGACUUUCAAGAUUGUUGGGUAACUUGCAAGUCACUCAGUUUCGAGGUCCACGUGCUGCCAUGAGAGGCCUCUGAAAAUCUGAAACGGCAAAUGUCGGUGCAUCAAAGUGCAGACACUGAGGUGGACAUCGGAGGAAAAGGUUAUACUGACGAGCAAAAUUCAGCAGUUACCAGAAGAAAACGGAAAAUGGCGAUGAAUAAAGGAUGUUUAAAUCGUUGAGGAGAACAAGAGACAACACCAAGAGAUGUAAAAGGAAACGGAGGCUCUGAGAGGGCUGCUGAGCUGAAGAGGGAAGACAGAAGAUUAAAGAAACUAAGAGGGAUCCAGAGCCACACUUUGAUGUGUCUGAUGUGAUGGCAACCUUUACCCACAUGGUUAACUGAUGGAAGCGGGGUGUGUGUGUGUGUGUGCUGUGGUGGCUGUCCUCUUCUGAAAUCCUGCGCUGCGUCCAAUGAUGGCCCUUCAUGGUCUGACAUGAAUGCAGCUGAGUGUGUGUCCGAGAGGAAUCGCAGGAGAACGAGAAGGUUGGACAGAGAGGCCCAUUGAAGUGAGUAAAGCCAGGAUUACUGGAUACCCCUUAAACACGCUCCGUUUCUCCUUCUCUCUAUCUAUGUCUUUCUCUUCUUUAUCCAUAUCUGUGCUGUGAAAGCAUUUUUUUGUGUAAUAAAGUAU